AGAGUUUGAUCCUGGCUCAGAUUGAACGCUGGCGGCAUGCCUUACACAUGCAAGUCGAACGGUAACGCGGGGCAACCUGGCGACGAGUGGCGAACGGGUGAGUAACGCAUCGGAACGUGCCCAGUAGUGGGGGAUAGCCCGGCGAAAGCCGGAUUAAUACCGCAUACGACCUACGGGUGAAAGCGGGGGACCGUAAGGCCUCGCGCUAUUGGAGCGGCCGAUGUCAGAUUAGGUAGUUGGUGGGGUAAAAGCCUACCAAGCCGACGAUCUGUAGCUGGUCUGAGAGGACGACCAGCCACACUGGGACUGAGACACGGCCCAGACUCCUACGGGAGGCAGCAGUGGGGAAUUUUGGACAAUGGGCGCAAGCCUGAUCCAGCCAUGCCGCGUGCGGGAUGAAGGCCUUCGGGUUGUAAACCGCUUUUGUCAGGGAAGAUACGCUCCGGGCCAAUACCCUGGGGUAAUGACGGUACCUGAAGAAUAAGCACCGGCUAACUACGUGCCAGCAG
This 509-nucleotide ribosomal RNA is filed under the name uncultured freshwater bacterium. RNAcentral's name for it is "bacterial SSU rRNA". It matches the Rfam family "Bacterial small subunit ribosomal RNA", at positions 8 to 514 of the family's 1533-position model. The record is from RNAcentral.